This 62-nucleotide small nucleolar RNA is filed under the name Oryza sativa Indica Group (long-grained rice). RNAcentral's name for it is "Small nucleolar RNA SNORD24". Lineage: Eukaryota; Viridiplantae; Streptophyta; Magnoliopsida; Poales; Poaceae. RNAcentral also lists the same sequence under 1 other name. The record is from RNAcentral.
GGCCUGUGAUGUAAGCGAAAUAUUUGCUACUCGGGAUUGAUUAUUCAUUCAAACCUAAGGUC